This 618-nucleotide ribosomal RNA is filed under the name uncultured bacterium. RNAcentral's name for it is "bacterial SSU rRNA". It matches the Rfam family "Bacterial small subunit ribosomal RNA", at positions 338 to 947 of the family's 1533-position model. The record is from RNAcentral.
CCUACGGGAGGCAGCAGUGGGGAAUUGUUCACAAUGGGCGCAAGCCUGAUGACGCAACGCCGCGUGGGGGAUGAAGGUCUUCGGAUCGUAAACCCCUGUCGAAUGGGACGAAUAGCUUCCGGAUUAAUACCCCGGAGGAAUGACGGUACCGUUAAAGGAAGCCACGGCUAACUCUGUGCCAGCAGCCGCGGUAAUACAGAGGUGGCAAGCGUUGUUCGGAAUUACUGGGCGUAAAGGGCGCGUAGGCGGCCAUCUAAGUCAGACGUGAAAUCCCCCGGCUCAACCUGGGAACUGCGUCUGAUACUGGAAGGCUAGAGUUUGGGAGAGGGAUGUAGAAUUCCAGGUGUAGCGGUGAAAUGCGUAGAUAUCUGGAGGAAUACCGGUGGCGAAGGCGGCAUCCUGGACCAAUACUGACGCUGAGGCGCGAAAGCUAGGGGAGCAAACGGGGAUUAGAUACCCCGGGUAGUCCUAGCCCUAAACGAUGAAUACUUGGUGUGGCGGGUAUCGAUCCCUGCCGUGCCGAAGCUAACGCAUUAAGUAUUCCGCCUGGGGAUACGGUCGCAAGGCUGAACUCAAAGGAUUGACGGCUGAGAGNGCGAGACGACGACGAGGGAGAGG